UGGAUGACACUUUUCGGAGCGUAAACUCCUUUUAUCUGGAAAGAAUAAUGACGGUACCUGAUGAAUAAGCACCGGCUAACUCCGUGCCAGCAGCCGCGGUAAUACGGGGGGUGCAAGCGUUACUCGGAAUCACUGGGCGUAAAGGACGCGUAGGCGGAUUAUCAAGUCUUUUGUGAAAUCUAGUGGCUUAACCACUAAACUGCUUAGGAAACUGAUAGUCUAGAGUAGGGGAGAGGUAGAUGGAAUUCUUGGUGUAGGGGUAAAAUCCGUAGAGAUCAAGAAGAAUACCCAUUGCGAAAGCGAUCUGCUGGAACCUAACUGACGCUGAGGCGUGAAAGCGUGGGUAGCAAACAGGAUUAGAUACCCUGGUAGUCCACGCCCUAAACGAUGUAUACUAGUUGUUGCUUUGCUAGUCAAGGCAGUAAUGCAGCUAACGCAUUAAGUAUACCGCCUGGGGAGUACGGUCGCAAGAUUAAAACUCAAAGGAAUAGACGGGGACCCGCACAAGCGGUGGAGCAUGUGGUUUAAUUCGAAGAUACGCGAAGAACCUUACCUGGACUUGACAUCCUAAAAACAUCUAAGAGAUUAGAAAGUGCUAGUUUACUAGAAUUUAGUGACAGGUGCUGCACGGCUGUCGUCAGCUCGUGUCGUGAGAUGUUGGGUUAAGUCCCGCAACGAGCGCAACCCACGUGUUUAGUUGCUAACAGCUCGGCUGAGCACUCUAAACAGACUGCCUUCGUAAGGAGGAGGAAGGUGUGGACGACGUCAAGUCAUCAUGGCCCUUAUGUCCAGGGCGACACAC
RNAcentral lists this ribosomal RNA (802 nucleotides) under Campylobacter ureolyticus. Its description in RNAcentral is "bacterial SSU rRNA". It matches the Rfam family "Bacterial small subunit ribosomal RNA", at positions 405 to 1221 of the family's 1533-position model. The record is from RNAcentral. Lineage: Bacteria; Pseudomonadati; Campylobacterota; Epsilonproteobacteria; Campylobacterales; Campylobacteraceae.